AUUGAACGCUAGCGGGAUGCCUUACACAUGCAAGUCGAACGGCAGCACGGACUUCGGUCUGGUGGCGAGUGGCGAACGGGUGAGUAAUAUAUCGGAACGUGCCCAGUAGCGGGGGAUAACUACGCGAAAGCGUGGCUAAUACCGCAUACGCCCCAAGGGGGAAAGCGGGGGAUCGAAAGACCUCGCACUAUUGGAGCGGCCGAUAUCGGAUUAGCUAGUUGGUGAGGUAAUGGCUCACCAAGGCGACGAUCCGUAGCUGGUUUGAGAGGACGACCAGCCACACUGGGACUGAGACACGGCCCAGACUCCUACGGGAGGCAGCAGUGGGGAAUUUUGGACAAUGGGGGAAACCCUGAUCCAGCCAUCCCGCGUGUGCGAUGAAGGCCUUCGGGUUGUAAAGCACUUUUGGCAGGAAAGAAACGUCAUGGGAUAAUACCCCGUGAAACUGACGGUACCUGCAGAAUAAGCACCGGCUAACUACGUGCCAGCAGCCGCAGUAACAC
This 503-nucleotide ribosomal RNA is filed under the name uncultured bacterium. Its description in RNAcentral is "bacterial SSU rRNA". It matches the Rfam family "Bacterial small subunit ribosomal RNA", at positions 30 to 526 of the family's 1533-position model. The record is from RNAcentral.